GUCCACGCUGUAAACGAUGAGUGCUAGGUGUCGUGGGUAUUGACCCCCGCGGUGCCGCAGCUAACGCAUUAAGCACUCCGCCUGGGAAGUACGGUCGCAAGACUAAAAACUCAAAGGAAUUGACGGGGGCCCGCACAAGCGGUGGAGCAUGUGGUUUAAUUCGACGCAACGCGCAGAACCUUACCUGGGCUGGAAAGUGUUUGGAAGUCUGGUGAAAGCUGGAUGUGCCCGCAAGGGAACCAAGUGACAGGUGCUGCAUGGCUGUCGU
Molecule: ribosomal RNA, 268 nt
Filed under: uncultured bacterium
Lineage: Bacteria
Description: partial 16S ribosomal RNA
Rfam family: Bacterial small subunit ribosomal RNA
Source: RNAcentral